Molecule: long non-coding RNA, 240 nt
Organism: Bactrocera neohumeralis
Lineage: Eukaryota; Metazoa; Arthropoda; Insecta; Diptera; Tephritidae
Exons: 2
Source: RefSeq, a predicted model, not a curated record
AUGUAUGUACACUCGUGGCCACGCAAACCUUACCACUUAAUUUUUCAAGUAUUGUGCGUAUUUGACUAUAUUUUAUAGCGGUACUUUUUGCGGUAUAGAAAUUUUUUAUUUGGAAAUAACUUUACAAAAUGAGCUCGAAAUGUAAGAGACUGAUAUGCGAUGAAAAAAUGAUAUUUUUUUUUUUAUUUUUUUUUAUUUAUUUUUUUUUUUUUUUUUUUUUAUUUUUUUUUUUUAUUUUUU